CAGUAGCCGCGGGAAUACAGAGGGUGCAAGCGUUAAUCGGAAUUACUGGGCGUAAAGCGCGCGUAGGUGGUUUGUUAAGUCUGUUGUGAAAUCCCCGGGCUCAACCUGGGAAUGGCAAUGGAUACUGGCAAGCUAGAGUGUGUCAGAGGAUGGUGGAAUUCCCGGUGUAGCGGUGAAAUGCGUAGAGAUCGGGAGGAACAUCAGUGGCGAAGGCGGCCAUCUGGGACAACACUGACGCUGAGGCACGAAAGCGUGGGGAGCAAACAGGAUUAGAUACCCCAGUAGUCCCUGUCUCUUAUAU
Molecule: ribosomal RNA, 301 nt
Filed under: uncultured bacterium
Lineage: Bacteria
Description: partial 16S ribosomal RNA
Rfam family: Bacterial small subunit ribosomal RNA
Source: RNAcentral